RNAcentral lists this ribosomal RNA (106 nucleotides) under uncultured bacterium. Its description in RNAcentral is "partial 16S ribosomal RNA". The record is from RNAcentral.
CCUAAUAAAAGGAGUUUACACACCGAAAUGCGUCAUCCUCCACGCGGCGUUGCUGCAUCAGAGUUUCCUCCAUUGUGCAAUAUUCCUCACUGCUGCCUCCCGUAGG